This 253-nucleotide ribosomal RNA is filed under the name uncultured bacterium. Its description in RNAcentral is "partial 16S ribosomal RNA". It matches the Rfam family "Bacterial small subunit ribosomal RNA", at positions 524 to 776 of the family's 1533-position model. The record is from RNAcentral.
UACGUAGGGUGCGAGCGUUGCCCGGAUUUAUUGGGCGUAAAGGGCGCGUAGGCGGCCACGCACGUCCGUUGUGAAAUCGCCCGGCUCAACUGGGCGGGGUCGGCGGAUACGGCGUGGCUGGAGCAAGCUAGGGGGCAAUGGAAUUCCCGGUGUAGUGGUGGAAUGCGUAGAUAUCGGGAGGAACACCAGAGGCGAAGGCGGUUGCCUGGAGCUUUGCUGACGCUGAGGCGCGAAAGCGUGGGGAGCGAUCCGG